UACAGAGGGUGCUAGCGUUGUUCGGAAUCAUUGGGCGUAAAGGGCGCGUAGGCGGCCAUUCAAGUCGGGGGUGAAAGCCUGUGGCUCAACCACAGAAUUGCCUUCGAUACUGUUUGGCUUGAGUUUGGUAGAGGUUGGUGGAACUGCGAGUGUAGAGGUGAAAUUCGUAGAUAUUCGCAAGAACACCAGUGGCGAAGGCGGCCAACUGGACCAACACUGACGCUGAGGCGCGAAAGCGUGGGGAGCAAACAGG
RNAcentral lists this ribosomal RNA (253 nucleotides) under uncultured bacterium. RNAcentral describes it as "partial 16S ribosomal RNA". It matches the Rfam family "Bacterial small subunit ribosomal RNA", at positions 524 to 776 of the family's 1533-position model. The record is from RNAcentral.